Molecule: ribosomal RNA, 1451 nt
Filed under: uncultured organism
Description: SSU rRNA
Rfam family: Bacterial small subunit ribosomal RNA
Source: RNAcentral
AUAUUGAACGCUGGCGGCAGGCCUAACACAUGCAAGUCGAGCGGUAGCACAGAGAGCUUGCUCUCGGGUGACGAGCGGCGGACGGGUGAGUAAUGUCUGGGAAACUGCCUGAUGGAGGGGGAUAACUACUGGAAACGGUAGCUAAUACCGCAUAAUGUCGCAAGACCAAAGUGGGGGACCUUCGGGCCUCAUGCCAUCAGAUGUGCCCAGAUGGGAUUAGCUAGUAGGUGGGGUAACGGCUCACCUAGGCGACGAUCCCUAGCUGGUCUGAGAGGAUGACCAGCCACACUGGAACUGAGACACGGUCCAGACUCCUACGGGAGGCAGCAGUGGGGAAUAUUGCACAAUGGGCGCAAGCCUGAUGCAGCCAUGCCGCGUGUGUGAAGAAGGCCUUCGGGUUGUAAAGCACUUUCAGCGGGGAGGAAGGCGAUAAGGUUAAUAACCUUGUCGAUUGACGUUACCCGCAGAAGAAGCACCGGCUAACUCCGUGCCAGCAGCCGCGGUAAUACGGAGGGUGCAAGCGUUAAUCGGAAUUACUGGGCGUAAAGCGCACGCAGGCGGUCUGUCAAGUCGGAUGUGAAAUCCCCGGGCUCAACCUGGGAACUGCAUUCGAAACUGGCAGGCUAGAGUCUUGUAGAGGGGGGUAGAAUUCCAGGUGUAGCGGUGAAAUGCGUAGAGAUCUGGAGGAAUACCGGUGGCGAAGGCGGCCCCCUGGACAAAGACUGACGCUCAGGUGCGAAAGCGUGGGGAGCAAACAGGAUUAGAUACCCUGGUAGUCCACGCCGUAAACGAUGUCGAUUUGGAGGUUGUGCCCUUGAGGCGUGGCUUCCGGAGCUAACGCGUUAAAUCGACCGCCUGGGGAGUACGGCCGCAAGGUUAAAACUCAAAUGAAUUGACGGGGGCCCGCACAAGCGGUGGAGCAUGUGGUUUAAUUCGAUGCAACGCGAAGAACCUUACCUGGUCUUGACAUCCACAGAACUUUCCAGAGAUGGAUUGGUGCCUUCGGGAACUGUGAGACAGGUGCUGCAUGGCUGUCGUCAGCUCGUGUUGUGAAAUGUUGGGUUAAGUCCCGCAACGAGCGCAACCCUUAUCCUUUGUUGCCAGCGGUCCGGCCGGGAACUCAAAGGAGACUGCCAGUGAUAAACUGGAGGAAGGUGGGGAUGACGUCAAGUCAUCAUGGCCCUUACGACCAGGGCUACACACGUGCUACAAUGGCAUAUACAAAGAGAAGCGACCUCGCGAGAGCAAGCGGACCUCAUAAAGUAUGUCGUAGUCCGGAUUGGAGUCUGCAACUCGACUCCAUGAAGUCGGAAUCGCUAGUAAUCGUAGAUCAGAAUGCUACGGUGAAUACGUUCCCGGGCCUUGUACACACCGCCCGUCACACCAUGGGAGUGGGUUGCAAAAGAAGUAGGUAGCUUAACCUUCGGGAGGGCGCUUACCACUUUGUGAUU